CACACUGUCAGCUCUAUCACUUUCUUUUUCCUAAAACAAGCCACCAGGCCAGUCCAGAUUUCUGGGGCAGGGAAGUAAAUGUCGUCUCCUGAUGGGAGAAGCAGAGGUCACUUGGCAAAAAAUUUUCUACCCUGCUCAACAGUAACAUGGUGAGAAAUUAACUAACAUUUGUUGAAUGUUGAAGACUCACUAUUACCUAGUUAUUUUUUAUCUCCACUUUUAUGAUGAGGGAACUAAAAUUUAGGAAAGCAACUUGGCCAGGACCGGAAAGCUGGAAAGUAAAAGAGCUGAGGUUUGAAACAAGCCUGUGCCUUUUCUGUUUCACCAAAUAGGCCUGACAGCUCUCUGUGCUCUUUAAUAUUGAUGUAAAGAAGCAGGCAUGCUUGACUUUGGGUGUUCACAAGGGAUGUGUGACAGGAGGGAGGAUUAGCCGAGACGCUGGGGAAUAGGCAGUGUCCAGGCAAACAGGCUGGCACAAUAGAAAGAAAAACGGCUUUGGAGUUAGACACUCCUGGGUCCAAACAGCUAUAAAUCUGUUUCCUCAUUUGCAAGAUGGUGAUAGCAGCCCCCUUCUCACAAGACUGUGAGAGCUGUGAAUUAUUAUUUUUAAUUGUUGCAUAAUAAUUGCCCAUAUGUAUGGGCAUGUGUGAUAUUUUGUUACAUGCAUAGAACAUGUCAUGAUCAAGUCAGGGUAUUUAGAAUAUCCAUCUCCUCAAGCAUUUAUCAUUUCUGUGGAGCUGUGGACUCUUCAUGAAAAGUAUGGAGGGGCUGGCCUGCAGAACCAGGGGCCAGGGUAGGGGGAGAGCUGGAGACACACUCCCAUCCUUCUCCCCACACAAAGUCCUUUGGACACAACCAUGCCGCUCUGGUUGAACCCUUAUUUCUAGGACCCUCCCCAGUCUGUGUUCCUUGCCUUUCUCUCUAAUCAUAUGAAGAUAGAUGAUAGAUAGAUAAAUAGAUAAAUAAUAGAUAGAUAUGCACAUAAAAGCCUUUUUCAUUUUUAAUUGUUUUACAGAAGUGUGAUGAUGCUAUUCACAUGACUGAACCCUUUGAUUUUUGUAGUCAAUGACUGCUAAAUCCCUCUGACCCACAAACAUGCACCUCAUGUCAUCCUCCUGCCUCUCCCUGACUCUCAGAUGAUGUCCAUAGAGAAUGGAGCUGUUGAGGAAGCCAGAAAGGAACUGAGGAAGUGACAAAUAGAUUCUUGUAGCAUAGUAUUAGAAGUCCCGGCAAAAUAAAUCAGGCAAGAAAAAGAAAUAAAGACCAUCUAAAUAGGAAGAGAGGAAGUCAAACUAUCCCCAUUUGCAGAUGACAUCAAAGUGGGAAUUUAUGGCCAUUAUUUAGGUUAAUUAGUAUUUCUCAAACUGAGUUUCACAAAGAAGAACUCAGAAGUUUAUGAAUUCAUGUAGAACUAAAAAGAUGAAUUCUCUAAGAUUGUAUUGGAGUAAUUAUAGAAAUGAGAGUGAAAAUUUGGGACAUGUGAAAUA
RNAcentral lists this long non-coding RNA (1487 nucleotides) under Homo sapiens (human). Its description in RNAcentral is "non-protein coding LINC01520:1". Lineage: Eukaryota; Metazoa; Chordata; Mammalia; Primates; Hominidae. The record is from RNAcentral.